AAGCCAGGCUGCUCAUGCAAAGAAGGAUUUCCUGUGUGUAAGCCCUGUGCUCUGCUAAUUGUCAACACUUCUUGUUUGAAGCUGAGAUACAAGCUUUAUCCACAGCCAAAUGACAGAACUGUGAGAACUUGAAAGUAAUGAGGUGGAGAAAUGUUGAUCACCAGAGACCUCCGAGGGAGAGUUCUCCAUCUGAUUAGAAGAAAUACUUUGGAAUGACAUCUAGGGUGAAAGUCUUGCUGAGAAGGCAUGGAGGUGGUGUUUAGCCAGGACCUAAUGUGUCAGACACUAGAAUCCUUUUCUGCCACAGCCACUCCUGUUGGAGGCUCUCAAAGGAGAUAAAUGCUGGGACGAGGCCAGAAAAACAGCCUUCUUUGUCUCCAGAUCAAUCUCUGGGCUCUGCUGAAUUAUCAAAGACAAUAAAAUAGUGGCAUUUUCACAUGGUUCCAGCUGACAUAUGACAGGCACCAUGCUAGGAACUGGAGGUGGAGAGAUGAAGCAUAGCUUCUGGCCUGAAGAAGCUUCCAGAGUCCAAAGAGAAGGACAGAAGUGAUUGAAAUGCAAGUGAUAUGGGAUGUCUUUCAAAUGUGAUAGAUGAUGGCAUCCCAAGAGGAAAGGACUAAAGAAAAGCUUCCCAGAGAGGUCUCCUGGGAUUUUGUGCAUGGAAUAAGAGAUAUUUUUUUUGGUGGAGUUCUUAAAAUUGGUAAUAAAAGCUAGGGAUAUACAGUGUGGUGACUUUAUACAAUUUCAAUGUAGCAUAAGGUCAAACCUCAAUAAUUAAUCUUUUAUUAUGCAUCAAUCAUCGCUUCUCUGAUGUAACCUUGACUAAUGCACACAGCUAGACUGAGGUCAACCUGUGUGUGAUUGAGUGCCAUCCCACAUUCGAUGACAUAUUAAGUAGCAAAGAAUAAUGUGUUUGCAAAUGUCAACAUUUAUAUUGAUGGCCCUGGGAAAUUCUCAAGGGGACCAUUCCUAGCAUCUCUUUCCCAGGGGGUGUUACCAGUCUUUAUUUUUUCUUCUCUUCUCCUGAUCCAUCACAUUUGGUCCAAAUGCCAGAGAAAACCAGGAGCCUUGAAAGGUUCAGAGAAUGCCAAACUGAGGAGUUUUAGUGACAGAUAAGCCUUCUGACUAUGGAAUGGUCCUCCUGUCUUCUACUCCUCUGAAUCCUGAGUGCUCUGCUGGGCAAGGAAGACAUUGAUGCGUGUUGCAGUGGACUUAGUGUUGCUGCAGGAACUUUAUAAAACAAUGCAUGUCACGUCCUUACCAUACGGUCUAACACAGUGGAAGCAUUCAAUAAUGUUAGCCUGCUUUCGUUAGUUAUUAUGUACAUAUGUGUAUAUGUAUAACACAAACCCAUUAAGGGUACACUGGUUUCAGGCAUUUUUCUAAUGAAUUAAUUCAACUUUACCCUUCGAUACAAAAUAAUGAAACUCUUCAAACAAUAAUAUGCAUAGGUGCUAUUACCAUGUUCUUUAUGACUGUGCUUUAACACAAAAUAUUGAAAAAUUUAUAGCAUUCUCUACUUCAAGUCAACUAGGAUUAAUAGCAUUAACCAUUUAACUGUUAAGGGUACAUCUCCGUGGCACUGAUUCCAUUCAUAUUGUCCUAUCAUUGCUGCCAUUCACUUACAGAACUUUUCAUUUUCUCAAACUGAAACUCUACCUGUUAAACAGUAACGCUCUAUUCCUUCCUGCCUUUACCCCACACCACCCCUGGCAGCUACCAUUCUUUCUGUCUGUAUGAGUUCAUUUAUUUUAGAACCUCACACAUCCAGAAUUGUACAAUAUGUGUUCUUACGUAACUGCCUUAUUUUAUAUCAUAGUUCUUUCUUUCUUUCUUUCUUUCUUUCUUUCUUUCUUUCUUUCUUUCUUUCUUUCAAGGCAGGUUUUGUUCUGUUGCUCAGGCUGUCCUUGAACUUGUGAUCCAUUUCAGCCUCUUAAGUAGCUGAACUUGGCUUUUACCCUACCGUGUUGGGGACCGAACCUGGCGCCUCGUGCAUGCCAGGCAAGCACUUCACCACUGAGCCCCAUCCCCAGCCCUCAUUUAACAUAAUUUAGAGACUUGUUGUGACAUGUAUCAGAGUCUUGUUUUUUAAUACUGAAUAAUGUCACUAUGCUCCAUUUUAGUGAUCAUUGCAUUUGCUGAUGGGCACUUGAAUGCCUGUCUUUUAUCUCUUUUGAAUAAAGCCACUAUGAAUGCAGCUGUACACAUA
Cavia porcellus (domestic guinea pig) is the source of this 2209-nucleotide long non-coding RNA. RefSeq lists it as uncharacterized. The transcript has 3 exons. NCBI's taxonomy places the organism in Eukaryota, Metazoa, Chordata, Mammalia, Rodentia, Caviidae. The record is from RefSeq and is a predicted model, not a curated record.